GCGAGAGUGGCGGAAUUGGUAGACGCGCUGGUUUUAGGUACCAGUGGGGAAACCCGUGCGAGUUCGAGUCUCGCCUUUCGCACCA
RNAcentral lists this transfer RNA (85 nucleotides) under Chromatiales bacterium. Its description in RNAcentral is "tRNA-Leu". It matches the Rfam family "tRNA". From Rfam's summary of the family: Transfer RNA (tRNA) molecules are approximately 80 nucleotides in length. Lineage: Bacteria; Pseudomonadati; Pseudomonadota; Gammaproteobacteria; Chromatiales. The record is from RNAcentral.